RNAcentral lists this ribosomal RNA (253 nucleotides) under uncultured bacterium. Its description in RNAcentral is "partial 16S ribosomal RNA". It matches the Rfam family "Bacterial small subunit ribosomal RNA", at positions 524 to 776 of the family's 1533-position model. The record is from RNAcentral.
UCCAGCGGGUGCAAUCGUUAAUCGGAAUUACUGGGCGUAAAGCGCACGUAGGUGGCGACGUAAGUCGGGUGUGAAAGCCCCGGGCUCAACCUGGGAAUUGCAUUCGAGACUGCAUUGCUGGAGUACGGAAGAGGAGGGCGGAAUUCCCGGUGUAGCGGUGAAAUGCGUAGAUAUCGGGAGGAACAUCAGUGGCGAAGGCGGCACUAUGGUCCAGUACUGACACUCAAGUGCGAAAGCGUGGGGAGCAAACAGG